UGCAUACGACAUUUGUCAACUUUAUGCAUCAACAUAUACUAACAUAUGUACAUACAAACAAAUAAGUGCAAAUACAAACUGGCCGUAAUAGAACUAAGUAUUUGAGUACAUGUACGAACAUCAGCAUACAUAUAUUUUUACAACCUUAUACAGAUGUGUACAGAUUAAUUGACUGAAUAAGAGUACCAGAAAAAAAGUGUACCAUUCAUUUGUAUGAAAUACUCAUUUCAGCCAGAAGCUUCUGUGUUGCCAUAUUACACAUAUGAUAUUAAAAUACGCUUCCUGCUUAGCAAGAUAUAUGUACAUAUGUUUAUACAUAUAUAUAUUUGCGGCACAAAUUUCAACUUUAGCAAACAUAAAGGUACAAUGUGUUAUGUAAAUUUCUUAUAAAAUUAAAGCGAGAUGGCAACUGAAAGAAAUUUCAUAUGAGCAAAUUAAGAAAAAUGUAUUUAUAUUUGUAAAAUUACCUAUUCUACCAAGCGCAUGCCCUCUCUUAACUGCACAAUUCUCUUUAAAAUUGCAAAUGUAAGCCAUUCCAACUCCAAAACCAAGCCACUCAAAGGCGAAGUCUAAUUGGACAAUAGUAUACUCAUCGAAAAUAAUGAAAAAAAAAAAUGAUUUUUCGCUUAGAAGAAUAAAAUAUAAUUAUAAUGAAAAUUAACAUUAAAAAAAGCGUAUUAAGAACUGAUAAAUCCCAUAAAUAAAAAGUAUAUUAAUUUUCAUAGGGGUAUGUUUGCCAGCAGUCUAAAGCUUUGGGCUGCUUUUAGGUCUUUGUUUAUUACUUCUGUUUGCUGAAUUGAAAGAAAUAUUAUUAUUCACAUCCCAAAAAUAAGAAAAAAUAAUAUUUAAAAACAAAAGCAAUUUAUUUGAGACGAGAUAAACAUGGGUAGAAUAUUUUCCCUGCCUAGUCUUCAUAGAUAUUACGUAUUAACAGAUUUAAGACAUACAUUACCAUACUUUACAUGCACUAAUUGAUUGAAAAUAAUAUUUCUUUGUAAUGAAAAUUGUCAAGGAUUUGGCACACUACUUUAGUUCUCAAUUAUACCAUCGUACAUUAAAUUAAAUUUGCAUGACAACUAUUUAAUACACCACUAUUUAGUAUAAGAAUUUAGGAGUGGCAGAGGGGAGGGAGCAGAUGAUUAACCUGCAAAUCCAUAAUUCGGUACAGAUUUUUGUUCGAUUUUAAAACAUUCGUGAAUAAUUCGUUAAAGAAAUAUGAAUCAGUAUUCUUUUAAGAUCGAUGUUGCCUUUUUGAUAGAUAACUUGAA
This is a long non-coding RNA of Bactrocera latifrons, 1268 nucleotides long. RefSeq lists it as uncharacterized. NCBI's taxonomy places the organism in Eukaryota, Metazoa, Arthropoda, Insecta, Diptera, Tephritidae. The transcript has 3 exons. The record is from RefSeq and is a predicted model, not a curated record.